CUGGCAGUCAGAGGCGAUGAAGGGCGUGCUAAUCUGCGAUAAGCGCCGGUAAGGUGAUAUGAACCGUUAUAACCGGCGAUACCCGAAUGGGGAAACCCAGUGUGACUCGUCACACUAUCAUUAACUGAAUCCAUAGGUUAAUGAGGCGAACCGGGGGAACUGAAACAUCUAAGUACCCCGAGGAAAAGAAAUCAACCGAGAUUCCCCCAGUAGCGGCGAGCGAACGGGGAGGAGCCCAGAGCCUGAAUCAGCAUGUGUGUUAGUGGAAGCGUCUGGAAAGGCGCGCGAUACAGGGUGACAGCCCCGUACACAAAAGCGCAUGUGCUGUGAGCUCGAUGAGUAGGGCGGGACACGUGGUAUCCUGUCUGAAUAUGGGGGGACCAUCCUCCAAGGCUAAAUACUCCUGACUGACCGAUAGUGAACCAGUACCGUGAGGGAAAGGCGAAAAGAACCCCGGCGAGGGGAGUGAAAAAGAACCUGAAACCGU
Molecule: ribosomal RNA, 487 nt
Filed under: Salmonella enterica
Lineage: Bacteria; Pseudomonadati; Pseudomonadota; Gammaproteobacteria; Enterobacterales; Enterobacteriaceae
Also listed under: 2 other names
Description: partial 23S ribosomal RNA
Rfam family: Bacterial large subunit ribosomal RNA
Source: RNAcentral